AGGAUAAACGCUGGCGGCGUGCCUAACACAUGCAAGUCGAACGCGCUUUCGUCUUCGGAGGAGAGCGAGUGGCGGACGGGUGAGUAACACAUGGGUACCUACCCCACAGUGAGGGAUACCGGCGAGAAAUCGCCGACAAUACCGCAUACGCUUCUCUUUGGAGACGAGGAGAAGCAAAGUUGCGCAAGCGACGCUGAGGGAUGGGCCUGUGGCCGAUUAGCUAGUUGGGGGGUAACGGCCUCCCAAGGCGACGAUCGGUAGCUGGUCUGAGAGGACGAUCAGCCACACUGGGAUUGAGAACGGCCCAGACUCCUACGGGGGGCAGCAGUGAGGAAUUUUCCGCAAUGGGCGCAAGCCUGACGGAGCAACGCCGCGUGCAGGACGACGGCCUUCGGGUUGUAAACUGCUUUUCUGGGGGUACGAGCAAGGACGGUACCCCAGGAAUCAGCCCGGCUAACUACGUGCCAGCAGCCGC
This 475-nucleotide ribosomal RNA is filed under the name uncultured bacterium. RNAcentral's name for it is "SSU rRNA". It matches the Rfam family "Bacterial small subunit ribosomal RNA", at positions 26 to 518 of the family's 1533-position model. The record is from RNAcentral.